Molecule: ribosomal RNA, 663 nt
Filed under: uncultured bacterium
Lineage: Bacteria
Description: bacterial SSU rRNA
Rfam family: Bacterial small subunit ribosomal RNA
Source: RNAcentral
AGUAAUACGCCACUGAACUGAAACCGUUCAGGUCCUACCGGAGCAGCAGUGGGGAAUAUGACAUGGGCGCAGCUGAUCCAGCCCCCCGCGUGAGGUGAUGAGCCUCGGUCGUAAGCUCUGUGGGGGAGGGACGACGCUGCCGGUAAUACCCGCAGCAUGACGUACUCUAGCAAGCACGGCUAACUCGUGCCAGCAGCCGCGGUAAUACGAAGGGUGCAAACGUGCUCGGAAUUAUUGGGCGUAAAGGGCGCGUAGGCGGCUUUGUAAGUCACUUGUGAAAUCUCUGAGCUUAACUCAGAACGGCCAAGUGAUACUGCAAUGCUAGAGUGCAGAAGGGGCAAUCGGAAUUCUUGGUGUAGCGGUGAAAUGCGUAGAUAUCAAGAGGAACACGUGAGGUGAAGACGGGUUGCUGGGCUGACACUGACGCUGAUGCGCGAAAGCCAGGGGAGCAAACGGGAUUAGAUACCCCGGUAGUCCUGGCCCUAAACGAUGAAUACUUGGUGUCUGGAGUUAUUAGUGCUCCGGGUGCCGUCGCUAACGUUUUUAGUAUUCCGCCUGGGGAGUACGCUCGCAAGAGUGAAACUCAAAGGAAUUGACGGGGACCCGCACAAGCGGUGGAGCAUGUGGUUUAAUUCGACGCAACGCGAAGAACCUUACCUAGGC